This is a long non-coding RNA of Equus caballus (horse), 4064 nucleotides long. The record is from Ensembl. Lineage: Eukaryota; Metazoa; Chordata; Mammalia; Perissodactyla; Equidae.
GUCAAGAGGAGCCAGGAGAAUCUGGUGUCACUCACACAGCAGAGCCUGGGUCCAGAGCUGGGAGGCAAGGGAGCCACCAUCUGCUCUCUGCUCUGGGCUCUCUCCUUCCCACCCUGGCACUCGGAGUCGGAAACUGCAGACCAACUGUGCCCUAAGUCCCUUUGAUUAGGAAAUAACCUCCACCUAAGGACUGAGUUUGGGGUAGCAGAGUCACCGGAUCUUGAAGAGGAUCCAGACAUCAACAGGUCAUCUUUUGUGAGUUCUGAUCCAAAUGUGUUUCUCAAGCAGAACAGGCUUCACGGAGCUAAGAGAAACACAAUGUGGUGAGUGAUGUGUUAUGAGAAAAUCCGGAAAGCUGGGUGGUGGCUGCGCUGGGAAUGGUGGUGGGAGGCCUGGGAGGCUGCAUGCUGGACGCCUGGCUCCAGAGACCAGUGCCCAGAUGGAGGAGCCCAGACGGCAGGUUCUGCCCCUUCCCUCUACAUCAAGGGAACCCGGACUCAGGGAUUAGGCAUCAUACUCUGGACAUCCUGGCCUCAAAGCCCCAGGUGCUAGGCCCCUCCUGGACCUUGGCAUGUUGCCUUCUCCUUGUCCCCUUGAGUGUUCAUCUGGUCCUGGACCUGAAAUGAAGUGGGAUGGCCUGUGAAUCUUCUGGAGUGAUGACUCUGCUGAACACUGAGGCUCGUCCUGGGCCUGUCGGUUCCCACAGUCUUCUCCUCAGGUUCAGCUCAGACAGCAGAGGCCCCAGCCCUGGAGUCCCACAGCCCCCUGAGCAUGUCACUGUCACAGCCUUAAUACCACUAGGGCUUCCUUCUCUCCUUCUGUCAGCUUCUCGGGGAACUCCUGCAUCUAUCUCAAUAGCCCCAGCUCUUUGCACACUGCCUGCCACACAGUAGGUGCUUAAUAAAUGCACAGGGACUGAAGGCUGGCAUUGCAAUAGGCCUCAGGGGGCAGCAGGAACAGAGUCAUCCUCUGCUGUCACAGAAGGAGGGUGCUGGUGAAGCCACCAGCUGCCCCAUUUUGCAGACAGGGCUGUGGAGGCUGCCCGAUCUGCCCUCAGCCACACACCGGGCUCUCAGGCUGCUUGGGCCCGAGGGGCGAGCUGCCUGAGCUCCAGUGAGUCAUGGGGAUCGGGCUGGAGCAGGCGCCCCUGCUUGCCUCAAGAACAUCUGCUGAGAGAAACAGCUGUCUCCACUCUGCGCGGAGCGGGCUCCCGUGGGAAUGUGGUGUGUGGCUUGGCAGGGGAAUGGACACAGCUCCUCUGCCACCAUGGCCAUUUGCGGGGUGGGGGUGCUCAGAGUUCUGGGGCCUUUGUCAUGUCUGUCAGCAGCCAUCUCCCUGGGACCACACUGUCCCCUCUCCCCAUUCUCUCCUACUUUAAUUUCUGGGAGGUCUGGAAAGGACAGAGCCGGGUGGGUUUGGAACGUUGUGGUCAUAAGGUUUGAGUAGAUGGAGCGUUCUAGUGUCAGGAAGCCAGCCCUCUCUGGUGGCCAGCAGGAAUUAGGUGGCCUGGGGCCAGAGCUGGCUGGGACAGGGUUCUGAAAGUGCAAGGGUGACAUACAUGGGGGGAAGGGAGGAGUCUCUCUUCAAUUGUCCUUAAAAGAAAGAGUCCUGAGACUCACCUUGAAUUCUGGGUGGCUGGGAGCCUGGCACAGAGUGAGUCCCUCCCGUGUAAGAUGGAAUGAAUGAACCAGCUCUCAUCCACCUGGAGAAACCCUCCCCACACCGGCCAACCUGGGCCCCCAGAGGCUGCCAGGGAAAGAGCCCCAUCUCUGCCUUGGGGUGGGAUCCCCUCAGCUUCCAACUCCCCUCCCCCAAGCUCUCCUCUGGCUGACAUCCACUUGGGAGGCGGCAGCUGGGCCCAGGGCGGCUGCAGAGUCUGGGACCGAGACAGACACAAGACGGUAGCUCAGACAUGGGCAGGGCCUGGAGUCCAGGUGGCGUCUGCCUGGUCACGGUGGCUGAGCAGUCCCCAGGCCAAGGCAAGGUGGAGAUGGGGGCAGGGCUGGGGUGAGAGAGCCCGUUCACUUCCCAGGACUUGGGCUGAGCUCACACAAGUCUGUUCUGUGGGGAACCACAGAGGGGGUCAGGGCGGCUCUGUGUCUCCUGGGGGCACAGGGCAGGGGCUGGAGGCUGGGAAAGGAGUUGCCCCCGGCAGUUAUCUGAGCCCAGAGGACUUGCCCAGCAGCAAUGAGCUCAUGGGCACAGGGCAGAGCUGGGUGGUGACAGGAAAGGCACGGCAAAUGUUCCCCGGAGACCUGGAGGCGUGGGGCUUUCACACGAGCUCAUGUGAUAAGCCGCUCCCCAGGCCUCUCCUCUUCAGGUCAGGAGCCCUCAGGCAGCUGUGUCCUCUGGGAGGAGCCCCUGCUGCUGGCCCUGCGGGGCCUCAGUCCUCCACACUCCUGCUCUCACUUGGUUGGAAACCUCUGGCUGAGGCCUAAGAAUCCAGCCUUGAGAUGACCUGGGCCACGUCAAGCUUAUCUGGGUAGAAUGAUGAACAUUGUUUGUUUACUCAAUCUUUCUUUUUUGUAUAGAAUAUUCACCCAGUGUUGCAGUGCAAGAUCAACAGAGUUGUCAAACUAACAGGAAAAUGUACAAAUACUUCCACCAAUAUAGCAUGACCUGCCUAGUACUCUGGCAGAUUUCCAGAUCCUUGAGGCAAAAUUUGUGCCAGGAUUUGGACUGUUUUAAGGGUUGUGUGUUUACAAAUUUAUACAGGUAAAAACAUCUCUGUUGGGGGCCGGCCCCGUGGCUGAGUGGUUACUAUCACGCACUCCGCUUCGGUGCCCUGGGGUUUCGCUGGCUCGGAUCCUGGGCGCAGACAUGGCGCUGCUCAUCAGGCCACGCUGAGGUGGCGUUCUACAUGCCACAACCGGAAGGACCCACAACUAAAAAUAUACAACUAUGCACCGAGGGGCUUUGGAGAGAAAAAGGAAAAAUGAAAUAUUUAAAAGAAAAAUUCCUUUAAAAAGAAAAAUCUCCGUGAACAUAGUUUUUCUCUUUUCUUUCUCCUUCCUCCCUCUUUCCCUUCCUUUUGUCCUUCCUUCCUUCCCUCCUUUCCUCUCUGUCUUUCUUUCUUCAGUCAGAGGAAUUGCUGGUUGAGAGCUCUGAGGAUGUGAGCGCUCUGUGGUAUCUCUUUAUCAGCUCUGGGCCGAUGGGCAUGACCUGCUAUAUGUUUAAUGUACUUUCUUCCAGCUUCUCUGUUCAUGCUACAUCUUUAUUUGUAUUUGUCAGAGACCCUCAUAGUUGCCUUAAGUUGUCUUCCUUUAAUUUCUAAGGAUUUUCUUAAAUAUUUUUAUCAGUUUGUUAAUAUUUUGAUGUUAUUUUUCAUAUUUACAGUGAAGUGUUCUUUCACUCCAUCGCUUUUCUUUGUGUUUAUAUACAGAUGUUUACAAAUUUUAAAAAUGCAUUAUAUUCUUAUAGCCUCCCGUGGUUUUUUUAAUGACAUGCUUGGACAGUUAAACUUGACUCAGGUCUUUCUCCCGAGGGGCCAUCUGUUCCCAGAGGUACCGCACUGCAUCUGCAGCAUCCAGCCUGGGAAAUCUACGAAGAGGCGAAAACUGUGGACCACAAAGUGCUUUCGAUUCUUGUGAAUUGGGUAUUUUUACCUACGUUGUGCAGAUAGGAAAUUGAGCUCAGAGAUGUUAAAUAUUUGAGUAAGCAUCUCAGGUGGGACCCAAACUCAGAGGUCUGUCUGCUCCGAAACCCACAAUUUGUCCUGACAGCAGUGUCUCAGCAGACUGGGUGAACAUACAUUGCUAUAUUCUUCUGUUGUGGGUUUUUUUUUUUAAUGGUGUGUGUGUGUAUUUAACUUUAACCUCUCUGGAAUGUUCUGUGGUAAAUGGUCUGAGUAAGGAUUUGCUAUUCACCUGUUAUUAUUACCCAUUUCCCAUAUAAACGUAGUGAUACUAUUUCUUUCAUCAUUUUAAAAUUUUUGCUCAACUUGUUAUAUAUUAAACUCAAAUAAAUAUGUUCACAUCUGCUCUACCAUAAAGUUUUGACAACUGCCACAUAUGUUUUACAGACUGGUAGUAUUUCCCUGGUUUUGCCUCAAAAUAAAAAAAUUU